RNAcentral lists this unclassified non-coding RNA (248 nucleotides) under Hevea brasiliensis (rubber tree). Lineage: Eukaryota; Viridiplantae; Streptophyta; Magnoliopsida; Malpighiales; Euphorbiaceae. The record is from RNAcentral.
AACCAGUCACACAAGCAAUUAGUGUGUAUAUUGCUCCGUUGACUCCGCAAGCUGAUGAUCCCUUGUCCACAAUCUCAGCAAUUUGCCCGAAGGUGACGCAGGGGCACCAAAAUGUUUUGCAACAGUUUCGCCAAUCGGAAAAGCAGUCGCAUAAGCCAGAGGACCAUGGGUCCCUCUUCUUGGAUUCAAGAUAGGUUUCUGAUCGAGAAUUGUCACUACUGUAGUACUGGUUUGUUGAGCUCACCGGA